This 55-nucleotide microRNA precursor is filed under the name Marmota monax (woodchuck). Lineage: Eukaryota; Metazoa; Chordata; Mammalia; Rodentia; Sciuridae. The record is from RNAcentral.
UUUUUACUAUAAAUAUGUUCCAUGCAAUAUUUAGGACAUAAUUAUUCUUUGAAAA